Molecule: ribosomal RNA, 354 nt
Filed under: uncultured bacterium
Lineage: Bacteria
Description: bacterial SSU rRNA
Rfam family: Bacterial small subunit ribosomal RNA
Source: RNAcentral
GCAUAACGCGAAGAACCUUACCUACUCUUGACAUCUACGGAAGACUGCAGAGAUGCGGUUGUGCCUUCGGGAACUGUAAGACAGGUGCUGCAUGGCUGUCGUCAGCUCGUGUUGUGAAAUGUUGGGUUAAGUCCCGCAACGAGCGCAACCCUUAUCCUUUGUUGCCAGCGGUUCGGCCGGGAACUCAAAGGAGACUGCCAGUGAUAAACUGGAGGAAGGUGGGGAUGACGUCAAGUCAUCAUGGCCCUUACGAGUAGGGCUACACACGUGCUACAAUGGCGUAUACAAAGAGAAGCGACCUCGCGAGAGCAAGCGGACCUCAUAAAGUACGUCGUAGUCCGGAUUGGAGUCUGC